GACACUUAAGGUAACGAAUGAACUCGGUAUGAUAAUGAGAUCAUAAUGAGCUGAUACGUCAUGACAGUUGCUCCGCCUUGAUCAAUCCAUAUUUGGAUACACAUACACAAACUCUAAUUUUAGGAUCAUAUAAAAAUAUAUCGGAAUAUUGCCUUUAUUCUACGCUUAAAAUAAGUCAAAUUUCCCUGAUUUGACAACACAUCACAAGGCAUUAUGAUGAGAAAUACCCCGGUGAAGUUUGUCGUAUGGUUGGGAUCAGCGUCUAAAAUGCGCUUACUAGGCACAUGGCAAAGACGACGCGACGUUCAGAAGAUGUCAGCUGUACAACUUUGAAAUCGGAAAAAUCAAGGUAAAUUCUUGUAAUUGAAAUAAUGAUGUAUGAAUACCUGAAACCAAAGUUGUCAACAAUGAAAGUAGACAACAUUUACUGUGUUUUAUACAUUGACUCAAUACUUUAGAGGUAGUAUAUACAUAGUUUGAUGUUCCUUGUUUACAUACUGCACACGUCACACGUAGCCGAUGUGUAGCAUAUAUUAGGUGCACACACACAAAAUAGGCCUAUAUGUUAGAGAACUGAUGCUCAAAUGGUACCAGCUGUUGUUUGUUUAUAUAAACAUGAUUUACAUGAGUACAGGCGGGUAUCUAGGCAGUAAAAUCCACAGGCACCUAAAGUAUGGAUAUUACAUGUACUUACCCCCCCCUCUUUCUUUUGAUUUUUUUCUUGCUAUAAUUUCUCUGAAAUAAGUAAAUUCCCUGUCUAUCUCAUCCUUCUUUCGAUUCAAGUAAUCCUUUCACGCUUUUUGUAAGCUUCUACCGGCAUUAUUUAAUUUAUUUAUUGAUCCACCAAGCAUGUUGGCAUACAAUCAUGUUACACAAUAUGAGAUAUGUAUAUUGAUGACAAACUAAAUACUAACGGUUCAUAUGCAUAUUUGUAAAGACGUUUAUAUAUAUUUGGCAUGUACAUAUGACGUCAAACUGUAUAUAUAAUUUAGCAUUGCAUGUAUAACAUUAGCAACCUAUAAUUUAUUACAAAAUUUGUGCUCAUUUUUUUUAUACCCGGACAUGGCCAAUCUCUAAAGCUUACAAAAAGUGUGAAACGAUUACAGUACUUUAAAAAUCGAAAAAGAAAUGAGUUAGACCGGGAAUCAACACAUUUCAGAUUUAUCGCUGCAAAAAAUAUUUUCAAAAAUGGGGGUGGGGGGGGGGGGUGGCGCUAGUAUCAGUGCAUCAGGUAUCUGGUAAUAUCUUGUACAAAUGCACGUGUAACUACAUUAAUUUUGAUGCUCUAGAUUUACAGUCACAUUUAAUUUUAUCAAGUGACAUACUAGAAAGAAAAUAAAUUUGGGAUAUUUUCGUUUACAUUACAGUUUGAAUAAAUGGAAGAAAAAUAAAAGACCCUGAAUGCAUACUGAUUGCCCACAUUUUUUAUGUGUAUUUGAGACCCUUCUUUAAUACAUUGAAUGUUUGCGGCAUAUGAAUUUAUGAUAUGAGAUAAUGCUAUUUACAGAUGUGCAUACCAACAAGAAUGUGAACUUUUCAAAGAGCAUGAUAUUUCCAAUUUUCCACAUCUCUAGACCAGUGACCACAAAUGUACAUACAAGUACCCACAGAUGACAGCCAUAUUGACUCCAGUAGAUAAUAUUCAUCUCCAUCAGCUGGUUACUACGCUGUACAUAGUGGUCAAACCAGGAUAUCCACUAAUUGCAUUCAGUGAUGUGAAUUGUCAUCUACAUUUGUGCUUAUGAACUUUAGUAAACUGUCAAGUUUUAAUAUCAAGAAAAUGACUGCUGAAAAAGCAUCUAAUCUUGUGUUCUAUGAAUGUUUUCAAUUAAACACAAAACAAAAUGAGAAA
Long non-coding RNA from Ostrea edulis (European flat oyster), 1852 nucleotides. RefSeq lists it as uncharacterized. The transcript is spliced from 2 exons. The record is from RefSeq and is a predicted model, not a curated record. Lineage: Eukaryota; Metazoa; Mollusca; Bivalvia; Ostreida; Ostreidae.